RNAcentral lists this ribosomal RNA (449 nucleotides) under uncultured prokaryote. Its description in RNAcentral is "bacterial SSU rRNA". It matches the Rfam family "Bacterial small subunit ribosomal RNA", at positions 355 to 796 of the family's 1533-position model. The record is from RNAcentral.
UGGGGAAUAUUGCACAAUGGGGGAAACCCUGAUGCAGCCAUGCCGCGUGUGUGAAGAAGGCCUUCGGGUUGUAAAGCACUUUCAGUUGUGAGGAAGGGAUGUAGGUUAAUACCCUGCAUCAUUGACGUUAGCAACAGAAGAAGCACCGGCUAACUCCGUGCCAGCAGCCGCGGUAAUACGGAGGGUGCGAGCGUUAAUCGGAAUUACUGGGCGUAAAGCGCACGCAGGUGGUUAAUUAAGUCAGAUGUGAAAGCCCUGCGCUUAACGUGGGAUGGUCAUUUGAAACUGGUUAACUAGAGUUUUGGAGAGGAGUGUGGAAUUCCAGGUGUAGCGGUGAAAUGCGUAGAUAUCUGGAGGAACAUCAGUGGCGAAGGCGGCACUCUGGCCAAAGACUGACACUCAUGUGCGAAAGUGUGGGUAGCGAACAGGAUUAGAUACCCCCGUAGUCC